GACGAACGCUGGCGGCGUGCUUAACACAUGCAAGUCGAACGGAAAGGCCCUGCUUUUGUGGGGUGCUCGAGUGGCGAACGGGUGAGUAACACGUGAGUAACCUGCCCUUGACUUUGGGAUAACUUCAGGAAACUGGGGCUAAUACCGGAUAGGAGCUCCUGCUGCAUGGUGGGGGUUGGAAAGGUUCGGCGGUUGGGGAUGGACUGGCGGCUUAUCAGCUUGUUGGUGGGGUAGUGGCUUACCAAGGCUUUGACGGGUAGCCGGCCUGAGAGGGUGACCGGCCACAUUGGGACUGAGAUACGGCCCAGACUCCUACGGGAGGCAGCAGUGGGGAAUAUUGCACAAUGGGCGGAAGCCUGAUGCAGCAACGCCGCGUGCGGGAUGACGGCCUUCGGGUUGUAAACCGCUUUCGCCUGUGACGAAGCGUGAGUGACGGUAAUGGGUAAAGAAGCACCGGCUAACUACGUG
Molecule: ribosomal RNA, 468 nt
Filed under: uncultured bacterium
Lineage: Bacteria
Description: partial 16S ribosomal RNA
Rfam family: Bacterial small subunit ribosomal RNA
Source: RNAcentral